CGCCAGCGCGGGGGGCGGCCGCGCCCGGGGCCCCCGGCCCGCCCCGCUCCGGCACGCGGGUCACGCAGGUUUAAGCUGCCUUAAAGGAGAAUUAAAAAUAGUGACUUCAAAGAACAAAAUAACACAGAAGAGAGAAAACAGCACUCAAAAAACCCCCAGAAAGGGGUAGCAGGUUGUUUGACACACAUGGGCACAGAAGAUUAUGAACAGUGAAGACAAUGAAGAGUGGGACAUCCAUCAAAGAGUAACAACCUCUUAUAAGGUGACUCUAGUGAGCUCAUGAGGCUCCUGUAAAGGCCAGACUCAGCUAGGAUGUUACACCACCACUGCAGGAGGAACCCUGAGCUGCAGGAAGAGUUGCAGAUCCAGGCUGCCGUGGCCGCCGGCGAUGUUCACACCGUGCGCAAGAUGCUGGAGCAGGGAUAUUCUCCAAACGGUCGGGAUGCCAAUGGCUGGACCUUGCUUCACUUCUCUGCAGCAAGAGGCAAGGAGAGAUGUGUCCGUGUUUUUCUGGAACAUGGAGCUGAUCCCACAGUUAAGGACUUAAUUGGAGGCUUCACUGCUCUGCAUUACGCAGCCAUGCAUGGCCGGGCGAGGAUUGCGCGCCUGAUGCUGGAAUCUGACUACAGAAGUGACAUUAUUAAUGCCAAGAGCAACGACGGCUGGACUCCCCUGCACGUCGCUGCUCACUACGGCAGAGACUCCUUUGUCAGGCUCCUCCUGGAGUUCAAGGCUGAGGUUGAUCCGCUCAGUGAUAAAGGUACUACACCACUCCAGCUGGCCAUUAUCCGGGAGAGGUCAAGCUGUGUGAAAAUCCUCCUGGACCACAAUGCCAACAUCGACAUUCAGAAUGGUUUCCUGUUACGAUACGCUGUGAUCAAAAGCAAUCACUCGUACUGCCGAAUGUUCCUCCAGAGAGGGGCCGAUACAAACUUGGGGCGCUUGGAAGAUGGACAGACACCCUUGCACUUGUCUGCUCUUAGAGAUGAUGUGCUUUGUGCACAAAUGUUGUAUAAUUACGGAGCAGACACUAACACAAGGAACUAUGAAGGACAGACCCCACUGGCUGUUUCAAUAAGUAUUUCUGGAAGUAGCCGACCCUGUCUGGAUUUCUUACAAGAAGUGACAAGACAGCCCAGAAACUUGCAAGAUCUAUGCCGAAUUAAAAUCCGUCAGUGUAUAGGCCUUCAAAACCUCAAACUGCUUGAUGAGCUACCCAUUGCCAAGGUCAUGAAAGACUACUUAAAACACAAAUUUGAUGAUAUCUGAUAUCCAUGAAGAGAGGAACUGUGAGCAAGUUUAGUUCUAUUCCAGAUACUGAAGAGGCUUGUUGCCUUGCACAAAGUAUAUCCUAUGCAAAUUCUGAUUUUUCUGUGAAGUCAGAAGGCAGGUAUACACUUCCUUGGGUUUUUUAUACCACACGCUAGAAGGUCUUAAUUUUUGGUUUCUUGGUCCAAGUUUAAAAGGUCCAAGCUUUCUAUACGAUAUUGCAUUUUAAAAAUUGCUGUUGGUUUUCUGUUUGUUUUCACAUUAUGUGUGCAGACUUGCCGUGGAGAUGGAAGGCAGCCCCUCGAGGGAAGUGCUUGGUUUGAGUUGGCAUGCUGAGCAAGAACAAAAAAGUUUGGAAAUCAAGGCACCAAUCCUGCAAAAGGAUACAGAUAGACCUCCAGAGCCCUGUUUGUUAGGACCUCUUGUCUCUGCCAGGUUAGAGAGCGGGAAGUGCACAUAAGCUAUUAACUAAGAAGACAAGCCCCACUGACAUUGAAAGUUCAAAUUUUGCAAUUAAUCUGAAAGCAGAAACUGAGAGGAGUGCUGAAAUCUGGCUACUGAAUGUGUCUUUCAAACCAGAAGUGAGUUGUGCCUUAUAAAGCCCUUCUUGACACAAACUUCUUGGAUGCAUCAAUCAGUCAAGGAGACUGGGGAGACCACAACCUUUCCAGAGUACCAAAGAAGGUGGAGGCAGGAAUGGAGGAGGAGCAGAACAGCACUCUGAGAAGGAGUAAGGAGCUGUGGCCAAAGCUUUGAGGAAAGUCAAGGAGGGAGUUGGAGGAAGUGGCAAAGUUCCCCAAUUAUCCAGAGAGCUGUGGUUUCUCCAUUCCCAGAGCUGACCCAGCAGAAACUGCUUAGAAGAGUUAGAGGUCCUCAAUGCAGCAAGUUCCCUUUUCCUCCUGUUAUUCCAGUGGUGUCCUGCUGUCCUGGCUGUGUGAGGUUCCCAGAGUUAUUCUGGACCCUGAUAAAUCAGACCUUCAAUAUGGAGAAAUGACCUGCACCUGGAUAAGCCAAAUAUCCACCUAAGUUUUAAAAGAAUGAGAGAGCCAAAACAUUUGCAGGAUGGUAAUCCAGAGCACAGGUGUACACAAGCAGUUUUCAGAGCACUGGACUGGACACCAGACAGCAAAUCUCAAGAGUUUUCUCCAUAUUCCCCAAACUGAUACAGGACCAGUCUGUCAGGCUGUUGGCACAAAACAACAUUUGUUUUAUUGUUGGGAUGUAAUUUUGACAGGAGCUGAAAGAACCUCCCUGGGCUGGAGGGAGGAAUUGGACCUGCGUCUCACACAUCUCAACCGAGGGCCUUGACAGCUGCAUAUGCCUUGGUAAACCAUAGCUGGAGCACAUCUCUCCAGAAGAGAAAUUCACUCCUUGCUUUGAAGACAAAGUGCUGAGGCAUCCACUGCAUUCCUUCCUGACAUGUUCCAGUGGUUGGCUGCCCUCAUUCCAAACCAGAUGUCUCCUCUCUGAUUUGAAUGCUGCUGACUUCAGAUUCCUGCCAUUAGACCUUCUUCUGCCUGUUCCUGAUGGAGGUGAGGAGCUCCAGGUUGUUGGAUACCCAGGCUGCCACUGCUACCCAACGAAGCAGCCGCGUCAGGGCCAGAGAGACAUAACAGCACCCUAAUUCAAGAAAAUUCCUUCAAUUUGUCUCUUGGCUGUUACAGCCAUUUAGUGGGAGCAAGGCUUUCAUGUGCACAGCCCUGGUCUGGUUUUCCCAUUGCUGGCUCUUCCUUGAGCCACCUGCUUGGUUAAACAGUGGGGGUUUGUCUUUAGUUCAGUUUUCCUCCUCUUAUGAAGAGAUAAAUCUCUUAAAACGUUUAUUUCACACCCCCCCACCCUUUUUUUGUUUAAUGUCAUACCAUUGGGGCAAUAAAUACUCUGUAGUUUCAUCUUGCCACAAUGCUGGUUGAGGCUAAACUGAUGCAGUUUUUGGUUAAGCAAUGGAGGUUCUUUCCAUAAA
Molecule: RNA transcript, 3229 nt
Organism: Vidua chalybeata
Lineage: Eukaryota; Metazoa; Chordata; Aves; Passeriformes; Viduidae
Gene: ASB7
Gene name: ankyrin repeat and SOCS box containing 7
Exons: 16
Source: RefSeq, a predicted model, not a curated record